GCGUUUUUAGCUCAGUUGGUAGCAGCACUUGACUCUUAAUCAAGGGGUCCAGGGUUCGAGUCCCUGAAGACGCACCA
RNAcentral lists this transfer RNA (77 nucleotides) under Erysipelotrichia bacterium. Its description in RNAcentral is "tRNA-Lys". It matches the Rfam family "tRNA". From Rfam's summary of the family: Transfer RNA (tRNA) molecules are approximately 80 nucleotides in length. Their secondary structure includes four short double-helical elements and three loops (D, anti-codon, and T loops). The record is from RNAcentral. Lineage: Bacteria; Bacillati; Bacillota; Erysipelotrichia.